GAUGAACGCUGGCGGCGUGCCUAAUACAUGCAAGUAGAACGCUGAAGGAAGGAGCUUGCUCUUUCCGGAUGAGUUGCGAACGGGUGAGUAACGCGUAGGUAACCUGCCUGGUAGCGGGGGAUAACUAUUGGAAACGAUAGCUAAUACCGCAUAACAGUAGAUGUUGCAUGACAACUAUUUGAAAGGGGCAAUUGCUCCACUACCAGAUGGACCUGCGUUGUAUUAGCUAGUUGGUGAGGUAACGGCUCACCAAGGCGACGAUACAUAGCCGACCUGAGAGGGUGAUCGGCCACACUGAGACUGAGACACGGCCCAGACUCCUACGGGAGGCAGCAGUAGGGAAUCUUCGGCAAUGGACGGAAGUCUGACCGAGCAACGCCGCGUGAGUGAAGAAGGUUUUCGGAUCGUAAAGCUCUGUUGUAAGAGAAGAACGAGUGUGAGAGUGGAAAGUUCACACUGUGACGGUAUCUUACCAGAAAGGGACGGCUAACUACGUG
Molecule: ribosomal RNA, 497 nt
Filed under: uncultured bacterium
Lineage: Bacteria
Description: partial 16S ribosomal RNA
Rfam family: Bacterial small subunit ribosomal RNA
Source: RNAcentral